GGGUUCGGACAGAUAUUUAGAAAUGAUGUUGGGGUCGGGCUCGGUCAUAUCAGCGCAAUAAGGCAUUGAACAUUUUAAAUUUAAAAAAACUUAUUAUGUAGGUGUGCCCCUGUGUUAACGUGCCCUUGUCGCCCCGUGUGAGCUGAUGACCAUCUGUUGAUAUUUAUAAAAAUAAGGCUUCGGUCAACAGUCUUAAGUCUUUGAUCUUUACGCAAAGAAGGUUCAGUACAGAAGAGUCCGAGAGAACAAACAAAGGAACUAGAAAUCAGAUGGUACUUAUGUACUUCUGUUGCUGAACAGAAAAGGCCUGGUUGUGACAGAACUGCAAGG
Sander lucioperca (pikeperch) is the source of this 330-nucleotide long non-coding RNA. RefSeq lists it as uncharacterized. Lineage: Eukaryota; Metazoa; Chordata; Actinopteri; Perciformes; Percidae. The transcript has 2 exons. The record is from RefSeq and is a predicted model, not a curated record.